Molecule: unclassified non-coding RNA, 253 nt
Filed under: uncultured Patescibacteria group bacterium
Lineage: Bacteria
Description: contains 16S-23S intergenic spacer region
Rfam family: Bacterial small subunit ribosomal RNA
Source: RNAcentral
UACGUGGGGUGCAAGCGUUAUCCGGAUUUACUGGGCGUAAAGGGUCCGUCGGCGUCUGAAAAGGUCUUUUGUUUAAGCCUGGGGCUCAACUCCAGAACAGCAAAAGAAACCAUUCGGAUUGAGUCUGUUUGGGGUAGCCGGAAUUCUCGGUGGAGGGGUGAAAUCCGUAGAUAUCGAGAGGAACGCCAAUCGCGAAGGCAAGCUACUAAAACACGACUGACGCUCAGGGACGAAAGCUAGGGUAGCAAAGCGG